AGAGUUUGAUCAUGGCUCAGGAUGAACGCUGGCGGCGUGCCUAACACAUGCAAGUCGAGCGUGAAGCUUGAAAACAAACCUUCGGGUGAGUUUUUAAGUGGAAAGCGGCGGACGUGUGAGUGACGCGUGGGCAACCUACCUCAUACUAAGGGAUAGCCACUGGAAACGGUGAUUAAUACCUUAUAAGACUACAAUAACACAUGUUAUAGUAGUAAAAGAUUUAUCGGUAUGAGAUGGGCCCGCGUCUGAUUAGCUAGUUGGUAAGGUAAUGGCUUACCAAGGCUUCGAUCAGUAGCCGACCUGAGAGGGUAAUCGGCCACACUGGAACUGAGACACGGUCCAGACUCCUACGGGAGGCAGCAGUGGGGAAUAUUGCACAAUGGGCGAAAGCCUGAUGCAGCAACGCCGCGUGAGUGAUGAAGGCUUUCGAGUCGUAAAGCUCUGUCCUAAGGGAAGAAUUGAUGACGGUACCUUAGGAGGAAGCCCCGGCUAACUACGUGCCAGCAGCCGCGGUAAUACGUAGGGGGCAAGCGUUAUCCGGAAUUAUUGGGCGUAAAGAGUGCGUAGGCGGCCAAAUAAGUUAGAGGUGAAAGGCUAUGGCUUAACCAUAGUAAGCCUUUAAAACUGUUUGGAUUGAGUGCAGGAGAGGAAAGUGGAAUUCCUAGUGNAGCGGUGAAAUGCGUAGAUAUUAGGAGGAACACCAGUGGCGAAGNNGACUUUCUGGACCGUAACUGACGCUGAGGCACGAAAGCGUGGGGAGCGAACAGGAUUANAUACCCUGGNAGUCCACGCCGUANNGAUGANACUAGNNGUCGGGGGANACCUCGGUGCCGNA
Molecule: ribosomal RNA, 835 nt
Filed under: uncultured bacterium
Lineage: Bacteria
Description: bacterial SSU rRNA
Rfam family: Bacterial small subunit ribosomal RNA
Source: RNAcentral